This 409-nucleotide ribosomal RNA is filed under the name uncultured Microsporidia. RNAcentral's name for it is "SSU rRNA". It matches the Rfam family "Microsporidia small subunit ribosomal RNA", at positions 1 to 405 of the family's 1311-position model. The record is from RNAcentral. Lineage: Eukaryota; Fungi; Microsporidia.
CACCAGGUUGAUUCUGCCUGACGUAGAGGCUAGACUCAGAGAUUAAGCCAUGCAUGUUUGCGAAGUUCAUGAUGAAACAACAGACGGCUCAGUAAUUCUGCGAUGAUUUGCACUAUCUAGAGAGGUAACUAAUGAAACCAUUAGCUAAGAAGAUAGUUUAAGACGCAGGCCCAUCAGUUAGUUGGUAGUGUAAUGGACUACCAAGACGAUAACGGGUAACGGGGAAAUUAGGGUUUUAUUCCGGAGAGGGAGCCUGAGAGAUGGCUCCCACGUCCAAGGACGGCAGCAGGCGCGAAAAUUGCCCACUCUUUGAAGCGAGGAGGCAGUUAUGAGACAUGUUCUAAAGAAUAGACUGUAAAUAGGUCUAUGUGAUGCGAUUGGAGGGCAAGUUUGGUGCCAGCAGCCGCGG